RNAcentral lists this ribosomal RNA (369 nucleotides) under Escherichia coli. RNAcentral describes it as "bacterial SSU rRNA". It matches the Rfam family "Bacterial small subunit ribosomal RNA", at positions 87 to 459 of the family's 1533-position model. The record is from RNAcentral. Lineage: Bacteria; Pseudomonadati; Pseudomonadota; Gammaproteobacteria; Enterobacterales; Enterobacteriaceae.
GCUGACGAGUGGCGGACGGGUGAGUAAUGUCUGGGAAACUGCCUGAUGGAGGGGGAUAACUACUGGAAACGGUAGCUAAUACCGCAUAACGUCGCAAGACCAAAGAGGGGGAUCUUCGGGCCUCUUGCCAUCGGAUGUGCCCAGAUGGGAUUAGCUUGUUGGUGGGGUAACGGCUCACCAAGGCGACGAUCCCUAGCUGGUCUGAGAGGAUGACCAGCCACACUGGAACUGAGACACGGUCCAGACUCCUACGGGAGGCAGCAGUGGGGAAUAUUGCACAAUGGGCGCAAGCCUGAUGCAGCCAUGCCGCGUGUAUGAAGAAGGCCUUCGGGUUGUAAAGUACUUUCAGCGGGGAGGAAGGGAGUAAAG